UUUAACUGAGCGUUCAGUUACUUGACGUAGACCCGAAACCGGGCGACCUACCCAUGAGCAGGAUGAAGCGAAAGUAAAAUUUCGUGGAGGUCCGAACCCACGAGCGUUGAAAAGCUCGGGGAUGACUUGUGGGUAGCGGUGAAAUUCCAAUCGAGCCCGGAGAUAGCUGGUUCUCCCCGAAAUAGCUUUAGGGCUAGCCUCAAGGUGAGAGAUACGGAGGUAGAGCACUGAAUGUCCUAGGGGGUAUUGCACCUACCGAAGACUAUCAAACUCCGAAUGCCGUCAUCUUAUACUUGGGAGUCAGACUGUGGGUGAUAAGAUUCAUAGUCGAAAGGGCAACAGCCCAGAUCGUCAGCUAAGGUCCCUAAAUGUAAGUUAAGUGGUAAAGGAUGUGGGAUUGCACAGACAACCAGGAUGUUGGCUUAGAAGCAGCCACUCAUUCAAAGAGUGCGUAAUAGCUCACUGGUCGAGUGAUCCUGCGCCGAAGAUUUCCGGGGCUAAAACUUACUACCGAAGCUACGGCAUCAGUAAUGAUGGGUA
Molecule: ribosomal RNA, 540 nt
Filed under: Clostridioides difficile
Lineage: Bacteria; Bacillati; Bacillota; Clostridia; Peptostreptococcales; Peptostreptococcaceae
Description: partial 23S ribosomal RNA
Rfam family: Bacterial large subunit ribosomal RNA
Source: RNAcentral